Molecule: ribosomal RNA, 497 nt
Filed under: uncultured bacterium
Lineage: Bacteria
Description: partial 16S ribosomal RNA
Rfam family: Bacterial small subunit ribosomal RNA
Source: RNAcentral
GAUGAACGCUGGCGGCGUGCCUAAUACAUGCAAGUCGAGCGAACGGACGAGAAGCUUGCUUCUCUGUUGUUAGCGGCGGACGGGUGAGUAACACGUGGAUAACCUACCUAUCAGUCUGGGAUAACUUCGGGAAACCGGAGCUAAUACCGGAUAAUAUUAUGAACCGCAUGGUUCAAAAGUGAAAGACGGUCUUGCUGUCACUUAUAGAUGGAUCCGGGCUGCAUUAGCUAGUUGGUAAGGUAACGGCUUACCAAGGCAACGAUGCAUAGCCGACCUGAGAGGAGGAUCGGCCACCCUGGAACGGGGACGCGGACCAGACUCCUAAGGGAGGCAGCAGUAGGGAAUCUUCCGCAAUGGGCGAGAGCAUGACGGAGCAACGCCAAGUGAGUGAUGAAGAUCUUCGGAUCGUAAAACUCUGUUAUUAGGGGAGAACAUAUGUGUAAGUAACUGUACACAUCUUGACGGUACCUGAUCAGAAAGCCACGGCUAACUACGUG